This 497-nucleotide ribosomal RNA is filed under the name uncultured bacterium. RNAcentral describes it as "partial 16S ribosomal RNA". It matches the Rfam family "Bacterial small subunit ribosomal RNA", at positions 28 to 507 of the family's 1533-position model. The record is from RNAcentral.
GAUGAACGCUGGCGGCGUGCCUAAUACAUGCAAGUCGAGCGAACAGACGAGGAGCUUGCUCCUCUGACGUUAGCGGCGGACGGGUGAGUAACACGUGGAUAACCUACCUAUAAGACUGGGAUAACUUCGGGAAACCGGAGCUAAUACCGGAUAAUAUAUUGAACCGCAUGGUUCAAUAGUGAAAGACGGUUUUGCUGUCACUUAUAGAUGGAUCCGCGCCGCAUUAGCUAGUUGGUAAGGUAACGGCUUACCAAGGCAACGAUGCGUAGCCGACCUGAGAGGGUGAUCGGCCACACUGGAACUGAGACACGGUCCAGACUCCUACGGGAGGCAGCAGUAGGGAAUCUUCCGCAAUGGGCGAAAGCCUGACGGAGCAACGCCGCGUGAGUGAUGAAGGUCUUCGGACCGUAAAACUCUGUUAUUAAGGAAGAACAAAUGUGUAAGUAACUAUGCACGUCUUGACGGUACCUAAUCAGAAAGCCACGGCUAACUACGUG